This 369-nucleotide ribosomal RNA is filed under the name unidentified archaeon. RNAcentral's name for it is "bacterial SSU rRNA". It matches the Rfam family "Archaeal small subunit ribosomal RNA", at positions 90 to 462 of the family's 1478-position model. The record is from RNAcentral.
UCAGUAACACGUAGUCCACAUGCCAGGGACGUGGAUAACCUCGGGAAACUGAGGAUAAACCGCGAUAGGUCACUGCUUCUGGAAUGGUAAUGACCCAAACCUUAUAUGGCCCCUGGAUUGGACUGCGGCCGAUCAGGCUGUUGGUGAGGUAAUGGCCCACCAAACCUGUAACCGGUACGGGCUCUGAGAGGAGGAGCCCGGAGAUGGGCACUGAGACAAGGGCCCAGGCCCUAUGGGGCGCAGCAGGCGCGAAACCUCUGCAAUAGGCGAAAGCUUGGACAGGGUUACUCUGAGUGAUUUCCGUUAAGGAGAUCUUUUGGCACCUCUAAAAAUGGUGCAGAAUAAGGGGUGGGCAAGUCUGGUGCCAGC